UUGAUUACGUCCCUGCCCUUUGUACACACCGCCCGUCGCUGCCCGGGACUGAGCCAUUUCGAGAAACUUGGGGACUGCUGAUCCGGUGGCUACGGCCUCCGCUUCGGUGGAAACCAAUUUAAUCGCAGUGGCUUGAACCGGGCAAAAGUCGUAACAAGGUAGCUGUAGGUGAACCUGCUGCUGGAUCAUUACACGUACCGUGAUGGU
RNAcentral lists this ribosomal RNA (207 nucleotides) under Nacobbus aberrans. RNAcentral's name for it is "18S ribosomal RNA". It matches the Rfam family "Eukaryotic small subunit ribosomal RNA", at positions 1641 to 1831 of the family's 1831-position model. The record is from RNAcentral. Lineage: Eukaryota; Metazoa; Nematoda; Chromadorea; Rhabditida; Pratylenchidae.